CCCUUUCUUCCCAAACCUCAAUAAACCCUUCAUGGAAGAUACUUUCAGGAACACAUGAUCCCUACUUCAAAGCUCAAAUCUCUCAUGCGAUUGUCUGCGUACCCCUUCUGUCUACUUUGGGUAACUUAUAAAUUAUGUCGUAUCACUAGCACCUUGGCCGUAGUUUCCUCUACUAUUUCUGGUCCCAAUAACUGUCUUUCUCCCACUUCGCUCCAACACACCGGUGGCCUAGAGGGCCUACCAUAUAGAGUUUCAUAAGGAGUCAUUCUGAUGCUGGUGUGAUAACUAUUACUGUAUGUAAAUUCUAUUAA
Molecule: long non-coding RNA, 311 nt
Filed under: Carica papaya (papaya)
Lineage: Eukaryota; Viridiplantae; Streptophyta; Magnoliopsida; Brassicales; Caricaceae
Description: long non-coding RNA (CPAP_LNC004149)
Source: RNAcentral